RNAcentral lists this ribosomal RNA (869 nucleotides) under Bacillus pumilus. RNAcentral describes it as "bacterial SSU rRNA". It matches the Rfam family "Bacterial small subunit ribosomal RNA", at positions 364 to 1228 of the family's 1533-position model. Lineage: Bacteria; Bacillati; Bacillota; Bacilli; Caryophanales; Bacillaceae. The record is from RNAcentral.
AAUCGCAAGGAGAAGUCUGACGGAGCACGCCGCGUGAGUGAUGAAGGUUUUCGGAUCGUAAAGCUCUGUUGUUAGGGAAGAACAAGUGCAAGAGUAACUGCUUGCACCUUGACGGUACCUAACCAGAAAGCCACGGCUAACUACGUGCCAGCAGCCGCGGUAAUACGUAGGUGGCAAGCGUUGUCCGGAAUUAUUGGGCGUAAAGGGCUCGCAGGCGGUUUCUUAAGUCUGAUGUGAAAGCCCCCGGCUCAACCGGGGAGGGUCAUUGGAAACUGGGAAACUUGAGUGCAGAAGAGGAGAGUGGAAUUCCACGUGUAGCGGUGAAAUGCGUAGAGAUGUGGAGGAACACCAGUGGCGAAGGCGACUCUCUGGUCUGUAACUGACGCUGAGGAGCGAAAGCGUGGGGAGCGAACAGGAUUAGAUACCCUGGUAGUCCACGCCGUAAACGAUGAGUGCUAAGUGUUAGGGGGUUUCCGCCCCUUAGUGCUGCAGCUAACGCAUUAAGCACUCCGCCUGGGGAGUACGGUCGCAAGACUGAAACUCAAAGGAAUUGACGGGGGCCCGCACAAGCGGUGGAGCAUGUGGUUUAAUUCGAAGCAACGCGAAGAACCUUACCAGGUCUUGACAUCCUCUGACAACCCUAGAGAUAGGGCUUUCCCUUCGGGGACAGAGUGACAGGUGGUGCAUGGUUGUCGUCAGCUCGUGUCGUGAGAUGUUGGGUUAAGUCCCGCAACGAGCGCAACCCUUGAUCUUAGUUGCCAGCAUUUAGUUGGGCACUCUAAAGGUGACUGCCGGUGACAAACCGGAGGAAGGUGGGGGAUGACGUCAAAUCAUCAUGCCCCUUAUGACCUGGGCUACACACGUGCUAC